GGGGACGGAAGGACAGCAGACAGAAGGAUAGAGGACGGAAGGAUGGAGGAUGGAAGGAUGGAAGGAUGGAGGAUGGAAGGAUGGCGGACAGAAGGAUGACAGAAGGACGGGGACAGAAGGAUGAUGGAAGGAUGGGGACGGAAGGACAGCGGACAGAAGGAUGACAGAAGGACGGGGAGGGAAGGACGAGGGACAGAACGAUGGAGGAUGGAGGAUGGAAGGAUGGAAGGAUGGAAGGACAGCAGACAGAAGGAUGACAGAAGGACGGCGGACAGGAUGGAGAAUGGAAGGAUGGAGGAUGGAAGGAUGGAAAGAUGGAGGAUGGAAGGACGGGGACGGAGAGAUGGAGGACAGACAGAAGAAUGGAAGACGGAAGGAUGGGGAUGGAAAGAUGAGGACAGAAGGACGGGGGACAGAAGGACGGGGGACAGAAUGAUGGAAGGAUGGGAGACAGAUAGAAGUAUGGAANNNNNUGGGGACAGAAGGAUGGAGGACAGAAGGACGGGGGACAGAAUGAUGGAAGGAUGGGGGACAGAAGCAUGGGGACAGAAGGAUGGGGGACGGAAGGACGGAGGACGGAAGGACGGGGUACACUGGGGUCACCACAACUUGGGGACACCAUGAUAUGAGGACACCACGACAUGGGGACACCAUGAUAUGGGGACACCAAGACAUGGGGACAGCAAGACAUGGGGACAGCAAGACAUGGGGACAUCAUGAC
This 721-nucleotide long non-coding RNA is filed under the name Phasianus colchicus (ring-necked pheasant). Its description in RNAcentral is "lncRNA (ENSPCLG00000018585.1)". Lineage: Eukaryota; Metazoa; Chordata; Aves; Galliformes; Phasianidae. The record is from RNAcentral.